This 480-nucleotide ribosomal RNA is filed under the name uncultured bacterium. Its description in RNAcentral is "bacterial SSU rRNA". It matches the Rfam family "Bacterial small subunit ribosomal RNA", at positions 28 to 507 of the family's 1533-position model. The record is from RNAcentral.
GACGAACGCUGGCGGCGUGCCUAACACAUGCAAGUCGAGCGAAGUUAAAGCUUCGGUUUUAACUUAGCGGCGGACGGGUGAGUAACACGUGGGUAACCUGCCUUAUAGUGGGGGAUAGCCUUUCGAAAGGAAGAUUAAUACCGCAUAAGAAGUAGCUAUCGCAUGAUAGUAGCUUUAAAGGAGCUGUCUUCGAGAGAAGACGCAUUUGCUAUAAGAUGGACCCGCGGCGCAUUAGCUAGUUGGUGAGGUAACGGCUCACCAAGGCGACGAUGCGUAGCCGACCUUAGAGGGUGAUCGGCCACAUUGGAACUGAGAAACGGUCCAGACUCCUACGGGAGGCAGCAGUGGGGAAUAUUGCACAAUGGGCGAAAGCCUGAUGCAGCAACGCCGCGUGAGUGAUGAAGUUCUUCGGAAUGUAAAGCUCUGUCUUUUGGGACGAUAAUGACGGUACCAAAGGAGGAAGCCACGGCUAACUACGUG